CAUUACAGAGUUAUCCAACUCCCAAACCCAUGUGAACUUAUCUCUUUGUUGCCUCGGCGCAAGCUACCCGGGACCUCGCGCCCCGGGCGGCCCGCCGGCGGACAAACCAAAACUCUUGUUAUCUUAGUUGAUUAUCUGAGUGUCUUAUUUAAUAAGUCAAAACUUUCAACAACGGAUCUCUUGGUUCUGGCAUCGAUGAAGAACGCAGCGAAAUGCGAUAAGUAAUGUGAAUUGCAGAAUUCAGUGAAUCAUCGAAUCUUUGAACGCACAUUGCGCCCAUUAGUAUUCUAGUGGGCAUGCCUGUUCGAGCGUCAUUUCAACCCCUAAGCACAGCUUAUUGUUGGGAACCUACGGCUUCGUAGUUCCUCAAAGACAUUGGCGGAGUGGCAGUGGUCCUCUGAGCGUAGUAAUCUUUUAUCUCGCUUCUGUUAGGUGCUGCCCCCCCGGCCGUAAAACCCCCAAUUUUUUCUGGUUGACCUCGGAUCAGGUAGGAAUACCCGCUGAACUUAAGCAUAUCAAA
This 520-nucleotide ribosomal RNA is filed under the name Nigrospora sp. CMM2_12. RNAcentral's name for it is "eukaryotic LSU rRNA". The stretch from base 161 to 314 matches the Rfam family "5.8S ribosomal RNA". Lineage: Eukaryota; Fungi; Ascomycota; Sordariomycetes; Amphisphaeriales; Apiosporaceae. The record is from RNAcentral.